Molecule: small RNA, 1074 nt
Filed under: Arabidopsis thaliana (thale cress)
Lineage: Eukaryota; Viridiplantae; Streptophyta; Magnoliopsida; Brassicales; Brassicaceae
Description: ATSL186300
Source: RNAcentral
CAAAAAAAUUGUUUGAUUGCGAGAUAAGACAUUGUUUGUUGUAUGACUUUUCUGUUCUUAAAAACACUCUCCAAUCUAUAUUGUACGUACAUUGGUACAAACCAUGUUGACAAAUACUUCUUGGAGUCACAACUGGUGUACGGUCACCCGGGUGAGAAAUGUUAUCUCCGCCAGGUACACACUGACUUGUCUACGUACACUCUGCCAACAGAAGACUGAAUUCCCUUGGAUGUUGAACAGUCAGCUGUGUGAGAAUGACGUUCUCCUCAACAUUCCCUAUUCCAUAUUCUUCUACAAUUUCAUCGUUCCACUUGUUGUAAUCAUAAUCUUCGCCACUACUUUCACUACCAUCAAUAGUAGGAUCGAUGGUACUUCCCCCAUAGAUCCAUCGUCACCCUGAUAAUCAUCAUACCCAUCACCAUCUUCGUUGUCCUCUCAUCUUCAUCCUCAUCUGUUUUAUCGUCUUCAAUGUCGUCUUGCUAAUCUACGGUCUCAUUAUUUUCAUCAACAUUAAAACACUAUCACACACACAGUCACUUUCAGCAUCGUCACCAUGAGUCCUAGAGACAUUAUUUCCGAGUGUAUUGACGGUUGUAAUGAAAGAGACAAACAAGUUGAGAGAAGGAUACCCACCACGAAUAAAAAAAAUCGUAUCCCACCCUCACUUGACUGUCAAUGUAGACAGGAGGGCGUUUAGUAUCUACAUAACUAACAUCACUCCCGGUAUCCAGUAACUAAUCAUGGGAUUGAUCUCUAUGGACUUCAAACUGAAAGUCUCGCUUAGUGUACAUACAAAUUCCGUGUACGUCAUGUUUUCCUUAACACGUACACAACGACCAAACAUGUCUUCCUCUGGUUCAAAUUUCCAUUUUUCUUCUUUGCAUCUCCACUCACCGACCAUAGUAAAUACGAGAUUAUCCAUUACCCAACUGUAUCAUAAAUUCAGGAGAAACCCAAUAAAUGCAACUGAAAAUAUGAUUAUAUCGACAAAAACAAAUAGAAUUUCGUUAUACACACUUAUAAACAUAAAUAUCUAUACAUUUACCAUUUUCAACCAACAAAAUUAGAAAUAAA